Molecule: ribosomal RNA, 445 nt
Filed under: uncultured bacterium
Lineage: Bacteria
Description: bacterial SSU rRNA
Rfam family: Bacterial small subunit ribosomal RNA
Source: RNAcentral
GAUUAACGCUAGCGGCAGGCCUAAUACAUGCAAGUCGAGGGGUAACAGGGUAGCAAUACCGCUGACGACCGGCGCACGGGUGAGUAACACGUAUGCAACCUACCUAUAACUGGGGAAUAGCCUUCCGAAAGGAAGAUUAACACCGCAUAACAUCACGAAACGGCAUCGUUUUGUGAUCAAACCUCCGGGGGUUAUAGAUGGGCAUGCGUAACAUUAGCUAGUUGGUGAGGUAACGGCCACCAAGGCGACGAUGUUUAGGGGGUCUGAGAGGAUGAUCCCCCACACUGGUACUGAGACACGGACCAGACUCCUACGGGAGGCAGCAGUAAGGAAUAUUGGACAAUGGGGGCAACCCUGAUCCAGCCAUGCCGCGUGAAGGAUGAAGGCGCUCUGCGUCGUAAACUUUCUUUUACUCGAGAAAAAUUGUUGGGUUUCUACCUGACUU